UCAUUCCCAUCCCUAAUUCGAAACCCUAAAACAGAGAGAGAGAGCUCGGCGGCGCCUCCUCACCUUCCGCCGCCAGCCGCUCCGAUCGGCGCCUCCCCGUGCGUCGCCGGAGACUCAGCCGCUUUCCCCUCCUCUCUCUCUCAACCUCAUUUUCGCAAACCAACUCAAAACCCUACUCCAACUUUCUCUUCUCUCUCGGCGGCAUCGCCGCCUCACCCGCUCGCCGCCAUCUCGGCGUCAACGCCGCCAUCUAUUGACUGGCGACGAUCUCGUGCCUCUGUCGUUGCUGGAGGAUUUGGAAUCGAUGCCGCCGUCGGUCGCCGCCUCUCCUCUGUACAGAACUGCCACCGCUAGUGUGCAUGCACCGGCGGCAGCUUCGGCCUCCACCCCGCCUCGCUCCACCGGCUAUCGACAGGUUUGCAAAGGCUGUGGCUUUAGUGAUGGAUUAGAGGUGUGAGGUUGUCAAAGCUGUCUCCCGGGUACUUUAGAGCCGUCGCCGGAGCUGUCCAGCCGGGUGAAAGAAAAGGCUUGGCUGCCUUGCUGCUGCUUUGAGACGUGGGCCAUGCUAUCCCGGGCUCGACGGCUCGUUCGGAUAUGGCGCGGUGGUAGUGCGGCGUGGGCUCGGGAAAAGAAGUCCAAGUGCAAGCUACCCUAGACUUUAUUUCCUUGAGCUUUUGGUUCAUUCAAGAGUAUUGUAACAUUAAUAUCCCAUCUCAUCCUUUUGUAAGACCAUCAUGAACUUCCAAAGAAACAAAUUUUUGGGCAUUAUGUGGACCUUUUCUUUCGGGAACA
This is a non-coding RNA of Salvia hispanica, 792 nucleotides long. The record is from RefSeq and is a predicted model, not a curated record. NCBI's taxonomy places the organism in Eukaryota, Viridiplantae, Streptophyta, Magnoliopsida, Lamiales, Lamiaceae.